UUCAACUCUGAAGCUAAAUGAGAAGAAAUGGCUACAUGGAGUAUGACAAUAUGUUAUGCUCGAACGCAACAAGAUAAUUAGAUGAAAAUACACUUGUGGAACUGUGAUAGUACAUAGGGCUAUUUUGUUCUGGUCUGCCUAUCAUUGCUACUACCAUUUAGUACGAGCAUCCAAAAUCAUGCGGUCCUAUGGUUUGAUCUUUAACAUGUGGAUUGGCUUGUAUCUGCUGAGACGAGUUAUAUACUACUUGAAACCCUUUUGCAUUAUGAAGUUUAACUUCAUCAGCUCCAGUUUCUUUGGGUAGCACAAUAUAGAUGUUUUUUGAAUAAUAAUUAGGUUCUCCAAUCUGAAUUAUAUGUAUCCUCUACUGUAGGGAGGCUUGUCUACUCUAGUGAAAUCUUUGAGAUCAAGGUGCAUAGAAUUGAUCACUGAAAUUGAGGCUCGUUUAGAUUUUGAAGACGAGAUGCCUCCAUUGGACCCUAUGAUGCUACUUUUGGUUGAGAUCAAGGUUCCGACACUUUUGACCUUUGAGCAGCAUAUGCAGUGGCAUAGAACGAUCUGAACAAGCCUGGUAGGUAUCCAAAGAACAAGCAAUGAAAUUGAACCCAUUUUCUGGAUGGGGUCAAAGAUCUAUCGGCUGGGAUUACUGUUGUCACUGUCCUAUAGAUUUGGGUUGUAUCGUUGUGUAUUAUAUUUGCUAUGGAGCUAUGUAUGUAUGGAUGCUAUGGAACUAUAUGUAUAUAUGGAUGCUAUGGAAUUUUGGAUGUAUGGAUGCUAUAGAAUUUUG
Molecule: long non-coding RNA, 787 nt
Filed under: Hordeum vulgare
Lineage: Eukaryota; Viridiplantae; Streptophyta; Magnoliopsida; Poales; Poaceae
Description: long non-coding RNA (HVUL_LNC010066)
Source: RNAcentral